RNAcentral lists this ribosomal RNA (1136 nucleotides) under uncultured bacterium. RNAcentral describes it as "bacterial SSU rRNA". It matches the Rfam family "Bacterial small subunit ribosomal RNA", at positions 353 to 1482 of the family's 1533-position model. The record is from RNAcentral.
AGUAGGGAAUAUUGCGCAAUGGACGAAAGUCUGACGCAGCAACGCCGCGUGGAUGAUGAAGCUCUUUGGAGUGUAAAAACCUGUCAGCGGGGAAGAAACGUAUAAGUAGUAACUGACUUAUACCUGACGGUACCCGCAGAGGAAGUCCCGGCUAACUCCGUGCCAGCAGCCGCGGUAAUACGGGGGGGACAAGCGUUGUUCGGAUUCACUGGGCGUAAAGGGCGCGUAGGCGGAUUCUCAAGUCGGAUGUGAAAUCUUGCAGCUCAACUGCAAGCCUGCAUUCGAAACUGGGGAUCUUGAGUACAGUAGAGGAAAGCGGAAUUCCAGGUGUAGCGGUGAAAUGCGUAGAUAUCUGGAAGAACACCAGUAGCGAAGGCGGCUUUCUGGGCUGAUACUGACGCUGAAGCGCGAAGGCUUGGGUAGCAAACAGGAUUAGAUACCCUGGUAGUCCAAGCGGUAAACGAUGGGUACUAGGUGUCGGGGGUAUCGACCCCCUCGGUGCCGCAGCUAACGCAUUAAGUACCCCGCCUGGGGAGUACGAUCGCAAGAUUGAAACUCAAAGGAAUUGACGGGGGCCCGCACAAGCGGUGGAGUAUGUGGUUUAAUUCGAGGCAACGCGAAGAACCUUACCUGGGUUUGACAUGCAAGUGACUGCUGGUGAAAGCCAGUUUUCCUUCGGGACACUUGCACAGGUGCUGCAUGGCUGUCGUCAGCUCGUGCCGUGAGGUGUUGGGUUAAGUCCCGCAACGAGCGCAACCCUUGUCCAUAGUUGCCAUCAGGUAACGCUGGGGACUCUAUGGAGACUGCCGGUGAUAAGCUGGAGGAAGGUGGGGAUGACGUCAAGUCCUCAUGGCCCUUAUGCCCAGGGCUACACACGUACUACAAUGGUCGGUACAGAAGGUCGCAAUACCGUGAGGUGGAGCUAAUCCCAAAAACCGGCCUCAGUUCAGAUUGGAGUCUGCAACUCGACUCCAUGAAGGCGGAAUCGCUAGUAAUCGCUGAUCAGCAGGCAGCGGUGAAUACGUUCCCGGGCCUUGUACACACCGCCCGUCAAGCCAUGGAAGUUGGGAGCACCCGAAGUCGUUUGCUUAACCGUAAGGAGAGCGGCGCCUAAGGUGAUACCGAUGACUAGGGCU